This 252-nucleotide unclassified non-coding RNA is filed under the name uncultured Typhula. Its description in RNAcentral is "partial internal transcribed spacer 2". The record is from RNAcentral. Lineage: Eukaryota; Fungi; Basidiomycota; Agaricomycetes; Agaricales; Typhulaceae.
AAUUCUCAACCUCAAAGCCUUGUUGUAAUGACUCGGCCUUGGGGCUUGGACUUGGAGUGUGCGGGUUCCUUCACUGGAACCGGCUCCUCUUGAAAUGCAUUAGCUGGAACCUCUUCGUGGACCAGCCAUCGGUGUGAUAAUUAUCUACGUCGUUGGUUUCUUAGGUCUGCGCUUCGUAACAGAGGUUCUGCUUCUAACCGUCUUCGGACAACCGUCUUAGCGACUUCCUUCGGGAGAUCGGUAGGAUUGACC